AUUCGGACAGCGACUUCAAAGUCAUUUGUAGAAGGCUAAACAUUUGGACGACGGAUACACUGGAUGAUAAGGUAGAUGGUCCAGCCUUACAUGGGAAUGACACGAUGGGUGUUGAACACAGAAAACGUGCCGUGUACAAGAAAAAAAUGGAGUUUAUGAAAGCUUCAAGGAAUUAAUCCUGCCGGGUACCCA
This 192-nucleotide long non-coding RNA is filed under the name Lytechinus variegatus (green sea urchin). Its description in RNAcentral is "uncharacterized LOC121430223". Lineage: Eukaryota; Metazoa; Echinodermata; Echinoidea; Temnopleuroida; Toxopneustidae. The record is from RNAcentral.